GAUGGCGACCGGCGCACGGGUGAGUAACACGUAUCCAACCUGCCGAUGACUCGGGGAUAGCCUUUCGAAAGAAAGAUUAAUACCCGAUGGCAUAGUUCUUCCGCAUGGUGGAACUAUUAAAGAAUUUCGGUCAUCGAUGGGGAUGCGUUCCAUUAGGUUGUUGGCGGGGUAACGGCCCACCAAGCCUUCGAUGGAUAGGGGUCCUGAGAGGAAGGUCCCCCACAUUGGAACUGAGACACGGUCCAAACUCCUACGGGAGGCAGCAUG
RNAcentral lists this ribosomal RNA (267 nucleotides) under uncultured bacterium. RNAcentral's name for it is "partial 16S ribosomal RNA". It matches the Rfam family "Bacterial small subunit ribosomal RNA", at positions 87 to 353 of the family's 1533-position model. The record is from RNAcentral.